CUACACAUCCACGGGGGCUCGCACCAGCGGGCUGAGAGGACGGCUAGGGCCGUCGACCGUCGAACCUGUCCGGGUAAUGCCGGCGUAGGGAGCAUCAUCGAUGAGCAC
RNAcentral lists this non-coding RNA (108 nucleotides) under Rhodococcus jostii RHA1. RNAcentral's name for it is "TPP riboswitch aptamer (THI element)". It matches the Rfam family "TPP riboswitch aptamer (THI element)". Rfam says of the family: Vitamin B(1) in its active form thiamin pyrophosphate (TPP) is an essential coenzyme that is synthesised by coupling of pyrimidine and thiazole moieties in bacteria. The previously detected thiamin-regulatory element, thi box was extended, resulting in a new, highly conserved RNA secondary structure, the THI element, which is widely distributed in eubacteria and also occurs in some archaea. Lineage: Bacteria; Bacillati; Actinomycetota; Actinomycetes; Mycobacteriales; Nocardiaceae. The record is from Rfam by way of RNAcentral. RNAcentral also lists the same sequence under 1 other name.